GACGAACGCUGGCGGCGUGCUUAACACAUGCAAGUCGAACGGAAAGGCCCUGCUUUUGUGGGGUGCUCGAGUGGCGAACGGGUGAGUAACACGUGAGUAACCUGCCCUUGACUUUGGGAUAACUUCAGGAAACUGGGGCUAAUACCGGAUAGGAGCUCCUGCUGCAUGGUGGGGGUUGGAAAGUUUCGGCGGUUGGGGAUGGACUCGCGGCUUAUCAGCUUGUUGGUGGGGUAGUGGCUUACCAAGGCUUUGACGGGUAGCCGGCCUGAGAGGGUGACCGGCCACAUUGGGACUGAGAUGCGGCCCAGACUCCUACGGGAGGCAGCAGUGGGGAAUAUUGCACAAUGGGCGGAAGCCUGAUGCAGCAACGCCGCGUGCGGGAUGACGGCCUUCGGGUUGUAAACCGUUUUCGCCUGUGACGAAGCGUGAGUGACGGUAAUGGGUAAAGAAGCACCGGCUAACUACGUG
RNAcentral lists this ribosomal RNA (468 nucleotides) under uncultured bacterium. RNAcentral describes it as "partial 16S ribosomal RNA". It matches the Rfam family "Bacterial small subunit ribosomal RNA", at positions 28 to 507 of the family's 1533-position model. The record is from RNAcentral.